Molecule: ribosomal RNA, 469 nt
Filed under: Neisseria flava
Lineage: Bacteria; Pseudomonadati; Pseudomonadota; Betaproteobacteria; Neisseriales; Neisseriaceae
Description: bacterial SSU rRNA
Rfam family: Bacterial small subunit ribosomal RNA
Source: RNAcentral
UGAACGCUGGCGGCAUGCUUUACACAUGCAAGUCGGACGGCAGCACAGAGAAGCUUGCUUCUUGGGUGGCGAGUGGCGAACGGGUGAGUAACAUAUCGGAACGUACCGAGCAGUGGGGGAUAACUAAUCGAAAGAUUAGCUAAUACCGCAUAUUUUCUGAGGAAGAAAGCAGGGGACCAUUUGGCCUUGCGCUGUUUGAGCGGCCGAUAUCUGAUUAGCUAGUUGGUGGGGUAAAGGCCUACCAAGGCGACGAUCAGUAGCGGGUCUGAGAGGAUGACCCGCCACACUGGGACUGAGACACGGCCCAGACUCCUACGGGAGGCAGCAGUGGGGAAUUUUGGACAAUGGGCGCAAGCCUGAUCCAGCCAUGCCGCGUGUCUGAAGAAGGCCUUCGGGUUGUAAAGGACUUUUGUCAGGGAAGAAAAGGGCGGGGUUAAUACCCCUGUCUGAUAACGGUACCUGAAGAAUA